GGAGAGAAUCGGUCCCAGCAGAGCAGCACCACGGUAAGUAAGGGCCAGAGUGGCCCUGGUACGAGAAUGACACCAAGUGGGAACUUGGCUCUCCAGGAAGGAAUGGGGAGCACCAGUGCUAUGGACCGAAGGUGACAUCCUGUUAAGUCCGGAGUCCUUGGCUGGUGGUUACUGUUUCUGCACCUUGAGAGCACCCUGUCGCGGCCUCCUCGUGCGCCAUUUCUGUCGAGAGCUCAUCUGGAGGUCUUAUCACUGCUCCUUUUAAGCUCUGACUGUGUCCUGAAGCAGACAGAAGUGGAGGCAUGGGAAUCAAGAGGAUCUCUCCAGGAAGGAAAGAGAGAGGUCGGGGCAGAGAGGCCACACAGCC
Molecule: long non-coding RNA, 367 nt
Organism: Manis pentadactyla (Chinese pangolin)
Lineage: Eukaryota; Metazoa; Chordata; Mammalia; Pholidota; Manidae
Exons: 3
Source: RefSeq, a predicted model, not a curated record